GAUGAACGCUAGCGGCAGGCUUAACACAUGCCAGUCGAGGGGCAGCGCGGGAUAGCAAUAUCCUGGCGGCGACCGGCGGAAGGGUGCGUAACGCGUGAGCGACAUGCCCGUUGCCCGGGGACAACCGGUGGAAACGCCGACUAAUCCCCGAUGGGAUACGAUGCUUCAUGGCAUUGUAUUGAAAGUUACGGCGGCGACGGAUUGGCUCGCGUCCGAUUAGCUGGUUGGCGGGGUAACGGCCCACCAAGGCUGCGAUCGGUAGGGGUUCUGAGAGGAAGGCCCCCCACAAUGGGACUGAGACACGGCCCAUACUCCGACGGGAGGCAGCAGUGAGGAAUAUUGGUCAAUGGGCGGAAGCCUGAACCAGCCAUGCCGCGUGCGGGAAGGAGGCCCUAUGGGCUGUGAACCGCUUUUGCCUGGGGGCAAUAAGGGCGUCGCGCACGUCCGAUGAGAGUACCAGGCGAAUAAGCAUCGGCUAACUCCGUG
This 486-nucleotide ribosomal RNA is filed under the name uncultured bacterium. RNAcentral describes it as "partial 16S ribosomal RNA". It matches the Rfam family "Bacterial small subunit ribosomal RNA", at positions 28 to 507 of the family's 1533-position model. The record is from RNAcentral.